Molecule: ribosomal RNA, 292 nt
Filed under: uncultured bacterium
Lineage: Bacteria
Description: partial 16S ribosomal RNA
Rfam family: Bacterial small subunit ribosomal RNA
Source: RNAcentral
GUGCCAGCAGCCGCGGUAAUACGGAGGGUGCAAGCGUUGUUCGGAUUUACUGGGCGUAAAGAGCGAGCAGGUGGGUCGGCAAGUCCUGUGUGCAAUCUUUCGGCUCAACCGAAAAACUGCAUGGGAAACUACCGAUCUUGAGUGCGAGAGAGGAUGGCGGAAUUCCUGGUGUAGCGGUGAAAUGCGUAGAUAUCAGGAGGAACACCGGUGGCGAAGGCGGCCAUCUGGCUCGACACUGACACUCAGUCGCGAAGGUCGGGGGAGCAAACAGGAUUAGAAACCCGUGUAGUCC